RNAcentral lists this ribosomal RNA (909 nucleotides) under uncultured organism. RNAcentral describes it as "bacterial SSU rRNA". It matches the Rfam family "Bacterial small subunit ribosomal RNA", at positions 69 to 974 of the family's 1533-position model. The record is from RNAcentral.
GUAACGAUGGUGCUUGCACCAGGCGACGACCGGCGGACGGGUGAGUAACACGUAUGCAAUUUGCCUUUAACUGGAGGAUAGCUUCGGGAAACCGUAAUUAAUACUCCAUAGUAUUCAAAAGACGCAUGUUUUUUGAAUUAAAGCUCCGGCGGUUAAAGAUAAGCAUGCGGGACAUUAGCUAGUUGGUAAGGUAACGGCUUACCAAGGCGACGAUGUCUAGGGGGUUUGAGAGGAUGAUCCCCCACACUGGUACUGAGACACGGACCAGACUCCUACGGGAGGCAGCAGUGAGGAAUAUUGGGCAAUGGGCGCAAGCCUGACCCAGCCAUGCCGCGUGCAGGAUGAAGGUCCUAUGGAUCGUAAACUGCUUUUGUAUGGGAAGAACUUCCCGCAUUCGUGCGGGAUUGACGGUACUAUACGAAUAAGGACCGGCUAACUCCGUGCCAGCAGCCGCGGUAAUACGGAGGGUCCAAGCGUUAUCCGGAUUCACUGGGUUUAAAGGGUGCGUAGGUGGAACGAUAAGUCGAUGGUGAAAGCCUACAGCUUAACUGUAGAAUUGCCAUUGAUACUGUUGUUCUUGAGUAUAGUCGGGGGAAGUGGAAUGCGUAAUGUAGCGGUGAAAUGCAUAGAUAUUACGCAGAACACCGAUCGCGAAAGCAGCUUCCUAGGCUAUUACUGACACUGAGGCACGAAAGCGUGGGGAGCGAACAGGAUUAGAUACCCUGGUAGUCCACGCCGUAAACGAUGCUCACUCGCUGUUGGCGAUAUAUUGUCAGCAGUUAAGCUAAAGCAUUAAGUGAGCCACCUGGGAAGUACGUCCGCAAGGAUGAAACUCAAAGGAAUUGACGGGGGCCCGCAACAACCAGGUGGAACAUGUGGUUCAAUUCGAUGAUACGCGAGGAACCUUAC